AUUGAACGCUGGCGGUAUGCUUAACACAUGCAAGUCGAACGGUAGCAGGCCUUCGGGCGCUGACGAGUGGCGGACGGGUGAGUAAUGCAUAGGAAUCUGCCUGUUAGUGGGGGACAACGUGGGGAAACUCACGCUAAUACCGCAUACGCCCUACGGGGGAAAGCUGGGGACCUUCGGGCCUGGCGCUAAUAGAUGAGCCUGCGUAGGAUUAGCUAGUUGGUGUGGUAAAGGCUCACCAAGGCGACGAUCCUUAGCUGGUCUGAGAGGAUGAUCAGCCACACUGGGACUGAGACACGGCCCAGACUCCUACGGGUGGCUG
Molecule: ribosomal RNA, 319 nt
Filed under: uncultured Pseudomonadota bacterium
Lineage: Bacteria; Pseudomonadati; Pseudomonadota
Description: bacterial SSU rRNA
Rfam family: Bacterial small subunit ribosomal RNA
Source: RNAcentral